AGUGAACGCUGGCGGCGUGCCUAAUACAUGCAAGUCGAACGAAGUGGCGCACGGGUGUGUAAUAUAUAGUUAAUAUGCCCUACACAGAGGAACAACAGUUGGAAACGACUGCUAAUACCCCAUAGUUUAGGAUGUGACUAUAUCGUAUCAGCUAGUUGGUAAGGUAAUGGCUUAGAAGGGCUAUGACGCGUAACUGGUCUGAGAGGAUGAUCAGUCACAGUGGGACUGGGAUACGGCCCAAACUCCUACGGGAGGCAGCAGUGGGGAAUAUUGCACAAUGGGGGAAACGCUGAUGCAGCAACGCCGCGUGCGGGAGGACGGCCUUCGGGGUGUAAACCGCUUUCAGCCAUGACGCGUUACCAACAGAAUAAGCACCGGCUAACUUCGUGCCAGCCGCCGCGGUAAUUC
Molecule: ribosomal RNA, 408 nt
Filed under: uncultured bacterium
Lineage: Bacteria
Description: partial 16S ribosomal RNA
Rfam family: Bacterial small subunit ribosomal RNA
Source: RNAcentral